This 253-nucleotide ribosomal RNA is filed under the name uncultured bacterium. RNAcentral describes it as "partial 16S ribosomal RNA". It matches the Rfam family "Bacterial small subunit ribosomal RNA", at positions 524 to 776 of the family's 1533-position model. The record is from RNAcentral.
UACGUAUGGAGCAAGCGUUAUCCGGAUUUACUGGGUGUAAAGGGAGCGCAGGCGGCUUUGCAAGUCUGAUGUGAAAGGCCGGGGCUCAACCCCGGGACUGCAUUGGAAACUGUAAAGCUAGAGUGCCGGAGAGGUAAGCGGAAUUCCUAGUGUAGCGGCGAAAUGCGUAGAUAUUAGGAGGAACACCAGUGGCGAAGGCGGCUUACUGGACGGCAACUGACGCUGAGGCUCGAAAGCGUGGGGAGCAAACAGG